This 348-nucleotide unclassified non-coding RNA is filed under the name soil metagenome. RNAcentral describes it as "partial contains 5.8S ribosomal RNA, internal transcribed spacer 2, and large subunit ribosomal RNA". The stretch from base 1 to 120 matches the Rfam family "5.8S ribosomal RNA", at positions 35 to 154 of the family's 154-position model. The record is from RNAcentral.
GAUGAAGAACGCAGCAAAAUGCGAUAAGUAAUGUGAAUUGCAGAAUUCAGUGAAUCAACGAAUCUUUGAACGCACAUUGCGCCCGCUGGUAUUCCGGCGGGCAUGCCUGUUCGAGCGUCAUUUCAACCCUCAAGCCCCCGGGUUUGGUGUUGGGGAUCGGCUCUGCCCUUCUGGGCGGUGCCGCCCCCGAAAUACAUUGGCGGUCUCGCUGCAGCCUCCAUUGCGUAGUAGCUAACACCUCGCAACUGGAACGCGGCGCGGCCAUGCCGUAAAACCCCAACUUCUGAAUGUUGACCUCGGAUCAGGUAGGAAUACCCGCUGAACUUAAGCAUAUCAAUAAGCGGAGGA